CACUAGUGAUUGUGAAUUGCAGAACUCCGUGAAUCAUCGAAUCUUUGAACGCAAAUGGCGCUCUUGGUUAUACCGGGAGCAUGUCUGUCUGAGUGUUGGUUAAAAAAAUUGAGCGCACACCUGCGCCCUACUGGGGCGUCGCGUAUCAAUUCGUAUACGCGUCCCUCGAAGUACAGCUCGUUCAACGCUGUGCGAACAAGGCCUAACGAAUUCUUGCCCUUGCCAGCACAGCACAUGUUUGGUCGUGUCAUUUACCAAUUAACCUCAGAUCAGGCAAGAUUACCCGCUGAAUUUAAGCAUAUAAGUAAGCGGAGG
This 315-nucleotide ribosomal RNA is filed under the name Isis hippuris. RNAcentral's name for it is "eukaryotic LSU rRNA". The stretch from base 1 to 98 matches the Rfam family "5.8S ribosomal RNA", at positions 56 to 154 of the family's 154-position model. The record is from RNAcentral. Lineage: Eukaryota; Metazoa; Cnidaria; Anthozoa; Malacalcyonacea; Isididae.